RNAcentral lists this ribosomal RNA (944 nucleotides) under Cellulomonas sp. Its description in RNAcentral is "bacterial SSU rRNA". It matches the Rfam family "Bacterial small subunit ribosomal RNA", at positions 59 to 1014 of the family's 1533-position model. The record is from RNAcentral. Lineage: Bacteria; Bacillati; Actinomycetota; Actinomycetes; Micrococcales; Cellulomonadaceae.
CAGUCGACGGUGAGCCCAGCUUGCUGGGUGGAUCAGUGGCGAACGGGUGAGUAACACGUGAGUAACCUGCCCCUGACUCUGGGAUAAGCCUUGGAAACGAGGUCUAAUACCGGAUACGUGACGCUCAGGCAUCUGAUGCGUCUGGAAAGAUUUAUCGGUCAGGGAUGGACUCGCGGCCUAUCAGCUUGUUGGUGGGGUAACGGCCUACCAAGGCGACGACGGGUAGCCGGCCUGAGAGGGCGACCGGCCACACUGGGACUGAGACACGGCCCAGACUCCUACGGGAGGCAGCAGUGGGGAAUAUUGCACAAUGGGCGCAAGCCUGAUGCAGCGACGCCGCGUGAGGGAUGAAGGCCUUCGGGUUGUAAACCUCUUUCAGCAGGGAAGAAGCGCAAGUGACGGUACCUGCAGAAGAAGCGCCGGCUAACUACGUGCCAGCAGCCGCGGUAAUACGUAGGGCGCAAGCGUUGUCCGGAAUUAUUGGGCGUAAAGAGCUCGUAGGCGGUUUGUCGCGUCUGCUGUGAAAACUCGAGGCUCAACCUCGGGCUUGCAGUGGGUACGGGCAGACUAGAGUGCGGUAGGGGAGACUGGAAUUCCUGGUGUAGCGGUGGAAUGCGCAGAUAUCAGGAGGAACACCGAUGGCGAAGGCAGGUCUCUGGGCCGCAACUGACGCUGAGGAGCGAAAGCAUGGGGAGCGAACAGGAUUAGAUACCCUGGUAGUCCAUGCCGUAAACGUUGGGCACUAGGUGUGGGGCUCAUUCCACGAGUUCCGUGCCGCAGCAAACGCAUUAAGUGCCCCGCCUGGGGAGUACGGCCGCAAGGCUAAAACUCAAAGAAAUUGACGGGGGCCCGCACAAGCGGCGGAGCAUGCGGAUUAAUUCGAUGCAACGCGAAGAACCUUACCAAGGCUUGACAUACACCGGAAACUUCCAGAGAUGGUUGCC